Small nucleolar RNA from Haliotis rufescens (red abalone), 67 nucleotides. RefSeq annotates it as small nucleolar RNA SNORD2. The record is from RefSeq and is a predicted model, not a curated record. Lineage: Eukaryota; Metazoa; Mollusca; Gastropoda; Lepetellida; Haliotidae. The transcript has a single exon.
CUUUGUAAUGAUGUUUUCAUCUUUCGGGACUGAUCUCGUUGAAGACAAAAAUCUCAGCUGAACAUUG